UCGGUGGAUUUGCUGGACGUCGAGCGGCGGACGGGUGAGUAACGGCUGGGAACCUGCCCUGACGAGGGGGAUAACCGUUGGAAACGACGGCUAAUACCGCAUAAUGUCUUCGGACCAAAGGUGGCCUCUACAUGUAAGCUAUCGCGUUGGGAUGGGCCCAGUUAGGAUUAGCUAGUUGGUAAGGUAAUGGCUUACCAAGGCGACGAUCCU
RNAcentral lists this ribosomal RNA (210 nucleotides) under Salinivibrio kushneri. RNAcentral's name for it is "partial 16S ribosomal RNA". It matches the Rfam family "Bacterial small subunit ribosomal RNA", at positions 73 to 283 of the family's 1533-position model. Lineage: Bacteria; Pseudomonadati; Pseudomonadota; Gammaproteobacteria; Vibrionales; Vibrionaceae. The record is from RNAcentral.